UCGAAAUUACAAUCCGGCGAGAGGAACGGAGGACUGCUGUCGCUGGUCCAUCUGGGCAUGUGCACGCUUUCUUCCCUACUUUCGUCGUAUGGGCGUGGGGCCACCCCCCGCGUCUUCAUGCGCCCCUUCGUGUAGAAAGUCUUUGAAUGUUUUUACUAUCAUCGAGUCGCGACUUCUAGGAGACGCGAUUCUUUGAGACAAAAGUUAUCA
This 210-nucleotide unclassified non-coding RNA is filed under the name uncultured Suillus. RNAcentral's name for it is "sequence contains ITS1". Lineage: Eukaryota; Fungi; Basidiomycota; Agaricomycetes; Boletales; Suillaceae. The record is from RNAcentral.